GUUUGGGUGGCGCCACAGGUGCACGGCGCGCUGCGCUCAUGUACGUGUCUGACUUUGUCCAGAAAUGAAAAAAGACGCGAAUACAGGAAAUCCAAAUGAUGACAUCACCUGUUGCUGUUAUUCUCAGGUAGAAAAAAUAGAUAAAUAUGAAAUAAACUAUGAAUUAAAACGGGCUUCUGUUGUUGUCGGGUUACUACUUUAUAGAGGAAAUUUCUCGCGGAUAUCCGGGGGGCGGAUGUGAGAAAUAAUUUAGAUUUCCCGAAGUAAAUAGUCAAAUAUUAAAGUUUAAGAUAAAAAAAAAAGUAAUAAUAAUAUUUGCACCUAAACUGUGUUUGUUAUUCCGCUGGAAUCUCCUGAUAUUGCUCCUGAAAAUCGAGAAGUAACGGCGCACAUACGGUGCAGUAUGUCUGCACGUUAUCCUUGAAAGGUACACAGUGUUACCCCGAGGCCCAAUAAUUAGCUCUGCUGGCUGGAUUCUUCUGGAUUGAACCCGAACGGACACAAAUUAUUUUUACUGUACUCGUGCAUGCGCACAAAUGUUUGUCAGAGCAAGUUCAUCCUUAUUUACAGCGAUCCUCUUAAACCUGCAUUUGAUGUUUUACGAAUCUUUCCGACAAACAAGGUGACUGCAAAAUCCACAUUUAUGUUUUUUUUCUUUAAGCUUAUUGUAUUAUUAUUAGAUUCAUCCGCUCAAAUCUAAACAUUUAGGAAGUUCCAUGUAUUAUUUGUAGUUUUUUAAAUCAAACAAACAAACAAACAUUUGUUUGGCACAUCGAGCAAACAAUCGCUCAACUUAUAUUUGUAUUUUUGUUUUUAAAAACUACAAUAAAGUCUCUUUUUUGCGCGCAGUUUUACCAAAUAAAUCCAAGAAGGAGAUUCCACUCUGUUUAUGUGCAUGCUUGUGGUUCGGAACAGCAGGUCUAAAUUCAUCCUAAUCAGCAAACAUUCGGAUGUGUUGACAGCAUGGAGAGAUUAAAUUAGCAGCUGCAGCGCCGGGAACAUUGAAUCAUAUUAAGGAUCAGCAGCAGAGGAGCGGAGGAAGAGGAGAGGCUGUACCUGCAGGCCUCUGCUUUCAGGAACCCGGUACCGCAAAACAUCAGGACAUCCACUAAAUAGCCCACAGAAAACCUCUCACCCAGGGCAGGGAAGUUUAAACAAAUACGCUUUAUUCUUAUUUCGAUUCUUAUGAAAACACCUGGAGAAUGAAAACGUUAAAACAGCCUGAAAAUCACUUAAAACGCGACAGAAACAGCGAAGCUGCAGUAAAUUAAAAUCACGCCUGAACGACAGAUAUCCGAAAUAUCGGUUUUUUUUUUUAACCUCUUGAAAGAUCGAAUUACGCAACAGAGACACGUCACGUCUGAUCACACGCACUGCAUAUGAAUGACUCGGUCUGAAUGAAACGAACCUGAAAAGUUCUGAAUGGAUGGCACUGCUGUCCCUCCUGCGGUCCCGCAGUGACGCUGUCACAGCGUGACGCUGGUCUCAAAGGGUGGCACGACAGGAGCCCGCAGGAACACCGAGUCCAGACUUUUCACACAGUUUCAUUUCAGCGUUGCUUCAUUUGAAUUUUCUAAUAUUUAUCCAGCUGACAGAAAUUAUUAGAUCUAAGCCAGAAAACGAGGUUUCACACAGCUGCGCUGUUCAGCAUCAGGGUUCUAACAUAUGGUUUGAUGGGCCUGAAUUAAUCACUUGUUGCACACUAGUUAAAAUCAGCAGCCUGUUUUCUCCACAAUACUUCGGAAACAGCUCCGGUGUAUUUUUAACAUCACGGAAUUCAGUCAAAAUAAGAACAAAAAAAAGAAAAAACAAGAACGAAACUUUAAACAUAAAAACAUCUCAUUUUCGUCCCUAAAGCACAGCCUGGAUGUUUCAGUGUGAGCGGAGUCUUCCUCUGCUCAGUCCACCGCGCACUUUUUUUCAACCCUGUGCAGCUAAAUGGAGCGCUUACUGAAUGUCUCCAAAAACAUAUUUAGAAAAGAAAUAAAAAUAAUACUCUGCAGAAUGUGCGUUUACAGCCCUCUCUACAGCUCUGCAUGCAUGUGUGUUUUGAAUCCACGUCUCUUUAAGUCCCGUCUUAACGCAAAAUUCAGUGUGUAUCGUUUAAAAAACUAGUCGAGUUCGUUUUUAUUGAGGACGUAGAAUCCACGCCAAUACUGAAUUGCCGAACAGUUGAUUUGUAAUUUAGAGUCACCGUCGGGAGCCAAUUUACACUCUCCAACUGCACAGCCAUACACGAAAGAACAGCACUGUGUUGGUUUGUAGCUGAAGUGAAAUGCUGAAGCCAGCUGGGAGUUCGUGGUGGUAAAAACUCAAGCAGAGAGACGGUCAUGGGUUCAAAUCUAAUUUGCCUUGUGCGCAACACAAACUUGGGAAAAGCUGCUGAGUAGCAACAGAACUCGCGGCCCAAUGCUUUGCCUAGAAGGGAGCUUGUUACUGCGCACACUCGCUGUGUAACAGGCCUUCCUCCAAGAGUGAAACUGUGAGCUGCGAGGAACAUUGCACACUUCAGAGAAGGCCAGCAGACCUCUUGCUCUUUAUUCUGAAAAUUAUAUUUUGAACUGCAGCUGGCAACAAGCAAGUUUAUUGAUAACCCUAAAUGGAAAGUGGUGCACAGUUGUGCAACCGCAUCAAUUGUUGGCACUUGGCCUAAAGAAUAACAAACUAACAACAUCUCUGAUGACCAUAACGAUGCCGGGAUGAUUCUGGGAAACUGUUCAGUGGAGCUGGACACUGAUCUCACCAAAAACCUGCAGGACUCUUCUUAUAUUCUGCUGCCGGCUGCUGACCCGAUUAGUUAAUACUGUCACAGUCCUGCUGAAUAUUCACAAGUUUUCUUCUCUAAUCACACAUUUCCAAGCAGGAGCUCUGGUCAGAAUCAAGAAAUUUCAAAGUUUGAGCAGUUUAUAUGUCAGGGAGCCAACUGUGUCAUCUUCACUGACUGAAAUCAGGGAGCAGAUUUAGGAGCUCAGUAACAGCACACAUGUUCCUCUGAGUUCAUGUAAACAGAGCUGCUCAAGUUCAGUGAUUCAGAAUUUCUUUCCUUGCACUCCCACGUCACUGCCCACUUGUUAGAAAUCAAUAAUUGUUUACAUUUAAAACAUUUUAGGGAUUUUGGUGCGUGUGGAACUUUUGUUACACUUCACAUGUGUCUGUGGUGGUGACGGACACUUCCUCUGUAUUAAAAUGUGCACCUCUGAAGAUAUUUCAUAAUGUAAAGUGUUUGCAAAAACAUGAUAAAAUAAAAUGACUUUCAUUUGCAAA
Astatotilapia calliptera (eastern happy) is the source of this 3264-nucleotide long non-coding RNA. The record is from Ensembl. NCBI's taxonomy places the organism in Eukaryota, Metazoa, Chordata, Actinopteri, Cichliformes, Cichlidae.